UGAGGGAUAUUGGUCAAUGGGCGCAAGCCUGAACCAGCGACGCCGCGUGGGUGAAGAAGGUCUUCGGAUCGUAAAGCCCUUUUCCCACUGAAGAGGAAGGACGGUAGGUGGGGAAGAAGUCUCGGCUAACUACGUGCCAGCAGCCGCGGUAAAACGUAGGAGACAAGCGUUAUCCGGAGUUACUGGGCGUAAAGGGCGUGCAGGUGGCGUCUUAAGUCUGUUGUGAAAGCGCCUGGCUUAACCGGGCGAGGCCAAUGGAGACUGAGAGGCUGGAGGACGGCGGAGGGCUGUGGAAUUCCGGGUGUAGUGGUGAAAUGCGUAGAGAUCCGGAGGAACACCAGAGGCGAAGGCGGCACUCUAAGCCGUACCUGACACUGAGACGCGACAGCACGGGGAGCAAACG
RNAcentral lists this ribosomal RNA (403 nucleotides) under uncultured bacterium. RNAcentral describes it as "bacterial SSU rRNA". It matches the Rfam family "Bacterial small subunit ribosomal RNA", at positions 355 to 774 of the family's 1533-position model. The record is from RNAcentral.